Long non-coding RNA from Harpegnathos saltator (Jerdon's jumping ant), 1080 nucleotides. RefSeq lists it as uncharacterized. The record is from RefSeq and is a predicted model, not a curated record. NCBI's taxonomy places the organism in Eukaryota, Metazoa, Arthropoda, Insecta, Hymenoptera, Formicidae. The transcript is spliced from 6 exons.
ACUGUGUCAGCGAGUCGAAUAAGCCUUCUUUUAUACACAGGUUGAUGGCUUCCUUUAAGUGAAAGCCACCGACAUAAUGAAAAUAAUUAACCUAAAAAAAUAGUUACAAUAAAUAUAAUGUAUAAAUAUUUCUUUUCUAACAGCAAAGUGUUGAAAUGGGUAAUACAGCCGGCUUUUGUGGCGCAGAAUGGCGAUCCUGGACGCAUUUCAAUAUUUUCUGCAACAAUCCAUGCGAUUUCCUGAAAAUAAAAACAUCAAAUAUAGACAUACUUUACACAUACCGAUAAUCAUGAUGUACGAAUUACUUACUUCAUGUCUGUCUUCAUAAUCUUCAAUCGGUCCUCCAUAAUCUUCAAUCGUUCUUCUAUUUUCCUAUAUUCUGCGCUUGACAGACAGCAUGUCCUUCGCUCUCCUCACGUUGAUACAAUGGCACCUGCUGCUCCUGUAGCAGUAGUAUUCCUUCUCCGCUUUGGAUCCUCGUCAGAAGAAGUUGUUUGAUAGCGCAAUGGCUUGGGAACAAUGCGUUUUUGCCGUUCCAUCUGAUACAUUUGUUCGAGAAACUAUCAAUGGAUGACAGCGAUAGUGAUGGACAUUAUGAAAUGAAAUUAUCUAAAUAUAUUAUCGCUGCUUUAAUACACAUGGAAGAAACGAUCUAGGUUGUCUAAUACAAGUCAAAUGGAACAACGCAGGGAGGUCGUCCAGGAAGGUGCAGUGAAGGAACGCAGGGACAGAAUAAGAAGAGGAAGAAGAAGGAAGCAGGAAGAGAUAGGUGGAAAGGGGGGAAGAGAAGGAGGAGAAACCGGUGGUUGGUUUCUCUCUGCGUCGUCAGACGAACCGGCACUUUUCAGUGCCUAUUUUGAUGUCUUAAACAUGGGAACCUGUCGUGUUCGAAAUACAUGACACGGCGCUUUUUAGCGCCGCACCGAAUAUAAUAAAAACAUCACAUUUCGUUAAACAUACGACGAUGUGCGAUGAAAAAAAUUUUCUUUUUUUUAUUAUUACAAUGAUACAAAUUGGAUAAUACAAGUUGAUAAAUUAAUGUGUAUGUAUAUUUUUCAAAGUAAAAGAAGGAGAGAGAGA